AGUGAACGCUGGCGGUAGGCCUAACACAUGCAAGUCGAACGGCAGCACAGUAAGAGCUUGCUCUUACGGGUGGCGAGUGGCGGACGGGUGAGGAAUACAUCGGAAUCUACUUUUUCGUGGGGGAUAACGUAGGGAAACUUACGCUAAUACCGCAUACGACCUACGGGUGAAAGCAGGGGAUCUUCGGACCUUGCGCGAUUGAAUGAGCCGAUGUCGGAUUAGCUAGUUGGCAGGGUAAAGGCCCACCAAGGCGACGAUCCGUAGCUGGUCUGAGAGGAUGAUCAGCCACACUGGAACUGAAACACGGUCCAGACUCCUACGGGAGGCAGCAGUGGGGAAUAUUGGACAAUGGGCGCAAGCCUGAUCCAGCCAUACCGCGUGGGUGAAGAAGUCCUUCGGGUUGUAAAGCCCUUUUGUUGGGAAAGAAAAGCAGCAGGUUAAUACCCCGCUGUUCUGACGGUACCCAAAGAAUAAGCACCGGCUAACUUCGUG
Molecule: ribosomal RNA, 492 nt
Filed under: uncultured bacterium
Lineage: Bacteria
Description: partial 16S ribosomal RNA
Rfam family: Bacterial small subunit ribosomal RNA
Source: RNAcentral